This 573-nucleotide ribosomal RNA is filed under the name Pellonula leonensis (smalltoothed pellonula). RNAcentral describes it as "partial 16S ribosomal RNA". It matches the Rfam family "Bacterial large subunit ribosomal RNA", at positions 1816 to 2597 of the family's 2925-position model. Lineage: Eukaryota; Metazoa; Chordata; Actinopteri; Clupeiformes; Clupeidae. The record is from RNAcentral.
CGCCUCCUGCCCACAACAAUAUGGGAGGUCCCGCCUGCCCUGUGACCAAAAGUUUAACGGCCGCGGUAUUUUAACCGUGCAAAGGUAGCGCAAUCAAUUGUCUUUUAAAUGGAGACCUGUAUGAAUGGCAUAACGAGGGUUUAACUGUCUCUUUUUUCCAGUCAAUGAAACUGAUCUGCCCGUGCAGAAGCGGGCAUAUUAACACAAGACGAGAAGACCCUAUGGAGCUUUAGACGCCCACCAACUAUGAAAAGAGACCAGAUUAAUGGAAACCCAAACAACAUAGCCCUGGCACAAACGUCUUCGGUUGGGGCGACCACGGGGGAAAAUAAAGCCCCCAAGAGGACAGGGGAACACCCUAGAACCAAGAGUUACAGCUCUAAGUCACAAAACAUUUGACCGAUUAAUGAUCCGGCCUACGCCGAUCAACGAACCAAGUUACCCUAGGGAUAACAGCGCAAUCCCCUCCCAGAGCCCAUAUCGACGAGGGGGUUUACGACCUCGAUGUUGGAUCAGGACAUCCUAAUGGUGCAGCCGCUAUUAAGGGUUCGUUUGUUCAACGAUUAAAGUCCU